AGCGAACGUUAGCGGCGCGCUUAACACAUGCAAGUCGCACGAGAAAGGGCUUCGGCCCCGGUAAAGUGGCGCACGGGUGCGUAACACGUAGGCUAUCUUCCCUUGAGCGGGGGAUAACGUUUCGAAAGAGACGCUAAUACCGCAUAAGACCACGACGGGUUCGCUCGUUGCGGUCAAAGCUGGCCUCUUCAUGAAAGCUAGCACUCAAGGACGAGCCUGCGGCCCAUCAUGCUAGUUGGUAGGGUAAUGGCCUACCAAGGCGAAGACGGGUAGCUGGUCUGAGAGGAUGAUCAGCCACACUGGAACUGAAACACGGUCCAGACUCCUACGGGAGGCAGCAGUGGGGAAUAUUGGACAAUGGGCGAAAGCCUGAUCCAGCGACGCCGCGUGAGUGAUGAAGGCCUUCGGGUUGUAAAGCUCUGUUGAGGGAGAAGAAAACAGUUAGAGCGAAUAGGUCUAACUCUUGACGGUAUCCCUUUAGAAAGCACCGGCUAACUCUGUGCCAGCCGCCGCGGUAA
Molecule: ribosomal RNA, 518 nt
Filed under: uncultured bacterium
Lineage: Bacteria
Description: partial 16S ribosomal RNA
Rfam family: Bacterial small subunit ribosomal RNA
Source: RNAcentral